RNAcentral lists this long non-coding RNA (986 nucleotides) under Equus caballus (horse). RNAcentral describes it as "lncRNA (ENSECAG00000045847.1)". Lineage: Eukaryota; Metazoa; Chordata; Mammalia; Perissodactyla; Equidae. The record is from RNAcentral.
CAUUCUGGCCUCUGUGCAGAGGGCAAGAAUAGAAGAAGAUCAGGUUAUCACAGUGGUUCAACAAGAUGACUGCAGCUCGGAGCUAGAGAUGACAAAAGCGGAGGGAUUUAGCAGGUCUUGGGGAAGAGAUGGCAAGACUUGCUGAUGGCGUAUAUGAAGGGAAUGACGGGGACAAGAAGGAUCGAGAGCGACACCUGAAUUAGACUGUAGCAGCUGUGCAGAGUGUGCUGUCACCCACUAAAGUGGUGAAGACCACAGGAGAAACAGUUUUUAUUUUCUCAGUGAAGUCUGAGAGAAAGGCGUCAACUAGACAUGAGGAGAGGAGGAAGCAAGUGUUGGAGCUUCAGGGAGAGAGAAGCUGUGAAAUGCUUCCUCGUACAGCAGGACAGUGAAUGACCAAGGGAAGUAAGUCCACAAAGAAUUCCAGUCAGCUGUCGCAUGCUUAGAGAAGAGAUCUUGUCUCUUUAAAAUAUUGCCAAAUGAAGCUAGCUGCCGGACCAGGGGCUUCUGUGAAGACACGUCCACUGUUCCCCUUCAGCUCCCUCUUUCACCGCCAACCCACUGCCAUCAAACUCUCCCCUUUCUCCACCAUCAGCACUUGCUUUUACAAAAUUAUCAUUACAAUAACAAGAGGACCUUUCAUUUUAAUAAAAGAUCUGGAAGGAUCUACACUAAAGUGUUAGCUGCUAUUUCUGCGUGAAGAGAUUAUGGAAUUUUUUUCUUAUUAUCAUGUAUGUGAAUAAUUAAUUAUGCAAACUAGUAUUGAUUUGGUGAUAAGAAAAUAAAAGUAAAAGUUUUUUCCCCUCCAAGAAAAAGAAUGCUUCAUCUUUUUAUGAGAAUUUACUCUCUAUAAAGGACUUUUAGUUCCAUUGCAUCAAUGGCACUUCCUAACCACCCUCUGAAUAAAUCAUUUAUUCCCACUUACAGAUGAGACCACCAAGAGGGAGAGAAGGGAAUUGUUUGGCUGCGGGUGACAAAGCUAGUAA